Molecule: non-coding RNA, 292 nt
Organism: Pelobates cultripes (western spadefoot toad)
Lineage: Eukaryota; Metazoa; Chordata; Amphibia; Anura; Pelobatidae
Source: the annotation of a GenBank genome assembly
AACAGGCUGAGAAUCAUGGGAGUAGUAGUUCAGCAACAUCUGGAGGACUGGAGUUUGGGGAAGCCUGCUCUAGAGCAUCAUGGAAUGCAAAUCACCCUGCAUGUAAAUGAAAUUUGAUUAAUAAUCUGCACUUAUCACAGCUUCCUCCUGGAAAGGCACAAGCAGGGCAUUUCAUGCAAAUUAAUCUCCCAUUGUCCUCUAUAUGAAUUGCAAAUGUUGGGCUAAAAGAUUGACUUGGAGACAUUCAGAAACUCUGCUCUAGUUUUGAAAUGUGGAAAUAAUUUGCAAAAAU